RNAcentral lists this ribosomal RNA (130 nucleotides) under uncultured Cellulosimicrobium sp. RNAcentral describes it as "partial 16S ribosomal RNA". It matches the Rfam family "Bacterial small subunit ribosomal RNA", at positions 382 to 524 of the family's 1533-position model. The record is from RNAcentral. Lineage: Bacteria; Bacillati; Actinomycetota; Actinomycetes; Micrococcales; Promicromonosporaceae.
CCUGAUGCAGCGACGCCGCGUGAGGGAUGAAGGCCUUCGGGUUGUAAACCUCUUUCAGCAGGGAAGAAGCGCAAGUGACGGUACCUGCAGAAGAAGCGCCGGCUAACUACGUGCCAGCAGCCGCGGUAAU